This is a long non-coding RNA of Zophobas morio, 351 nucleotides long. RefSeq lists it as uncharacterized. The record is from RefSeq and is a predicted model, not a curated record. Lineage: Eukaryota; Metazoa; Arthropoda; Insecta; Coleoptera; Tenebrionidae. The transcript has 5 exons.
UACAUAACUCGUGGUUACCUUGAUAUGGCACCCUCUACUCAUUGGAAAGCUGAAAAAGUUGUUUCUGCUGCCUCUUUAGCAGUGUAGCGCAUCCCGUUGGCCAUAUACAGCCCUUUGCCUAACAUCUAUGCUGAUUCUGCUAUGGCCUUGCUAUUUUCUGUUCACUCACAUUGGGGCUUGGAGCAGGUGAUUAUAGACUACAUUAAGGGAUUUGCUCAACCAGUAUUUAUGGCUCUUCUCAAACUUGUAUCUUUGGCGACUUUUUGUUCCCUUAUAUGUUUCAACGUUUAUGAUGUCGGCAUAACCGAGGCCACUCGCAUGAUUAUAAAAGAAAUUUAAGAUUUUUUACUU